GAACGAGAAAGUGUAGCAAUACAUGAGUAAAGUGGCGACCGGGUGAGUAACACGUGACUAACCUACCCUUGAGUGGGGGAUAACCUCGGGAAACCGGGGCUAAUACCGCAUAACAUCGCGAGGUGAAAUUCCUUGUGAUCAAAGGAGCAAUUCGCUGAAGGAGGGGGUCGCGGCUGAUUAGCUAGUUGGUGAGGUAACGGCUCACCAAGGCGAUGAUCAGUAGCCGGCCUGAGAGGGCGCACGGCCACACUGGAACUGAAACACGGUCCAGACUCCUACGGGAGACAGCAGUGGGGAAUUUUGCGCAAUGGGGGAAACCCUGACGCAGCAACGCCGCGUGGAGGAUGAAGUCCCUUGGGAUGUAAACUCCUUUCGAUCGGGACGAUAAUGACGGUACCGGAAGAAGAAGCACCGGCUAACUCUGUG
Molecule: ribosomal RNA, 426 nt
Filed under: uncultured bacterium
Lineage: Bacteria
Description: bacterial SSU rRNA
Rfam family: Bacterial small subunit ribosomal RNA
Source: RNAcentral